AUACGUAGGUAGCAAGCGUUGUCCGGGAUUACUGGGUGUAAAGGGAGCGUAGGCGGGAAGGCAAGUUGAAUGUUUAAACUAUGGGCUCAACCCAUAGUCGCGUUCAAAACUGCUUUUCUUGAGUGAAGUAGAGGCAGGCGGAAUUCCUAGUGUAGCGGUGAAAUGCGUAGAUAUUAGGAGGAACACCAGUGGCGAAGGCGGCCUGCUGGGCUUUAACUGACGCUGAGGCUCGAAAGCGUGGGUAGC
This 246-nucleotide ribosomal RNA is filed under the name uncultured bacterium. RNAcentral describes it as "partial 16S ribosomal RNA". It matches the Rfam family "Bacterial small subunit ribosomal RNA", at positions 523 to 769 of the family's 1533-position model. The record is from RNAcentral.